This 1419-nucleotide ribosomal RNA is filed under the name Klebsiella aerogenes. RNAcentral's name for it is "bacterial SSU rRNA". It matches the Rfam family "Bacterial small subunit ribosomal RNA". Lineage: Bacteria; Pseudomonadati; Pseudomonadota; Gammaproteobacteria; Enterobacterales; Enterobacteriaceae. The record is from RNAcentral.
CAGGCCUAACACAUGCAAGUCGAGCGGUAACACAGAGAGCUUGCUCUCGGGUGACGAGCGGCGGACGGGUGAGUAAUGUCUGGGAAACUGCCUGAUGGAGGGGGAUAACUACUGGAAACGGUAGCUAAUACCGCAUAACGUCGCAAGACCAAAGUGGGGGACCUUCGGGCCUCAUGCCAUCAGAUGUGCCCAGAUGGGAUUAGCUAGUAGGUGGGGUAAUGGCUCACCUAGGCGACGAUCCCUAGCUGGUCUGAGAGGAUGACCAGCCACACUGGAACUGAGACACGGUCCAGACUCCUACGGGAGGCAGCAGUGGGGAAUAUUGCACAAUGGGCGCAAGCCUGAUGCAGCCAUGCCGCGUGUAUGAAGAAGGCCUUCGGGUUGUAAAGUACUUUCAGCGAGGAGGAAGGCGUUAAGGUUAAUAACCUUGGCGAUUGACGUUACUCGCAGAAGAAGCACCGGCUAACUCCGUGCCAGCAGCCGCGGUAAUACGGAGGGUGCAAGCGUUAAUCGGAAUUACUGGGCGUAAAGCGCACGCAGGCGGUCUGUCAAGUCGGAUGUGAAAUCCCCGGGCUCAACCUGGGAACUGCAUUCGAAACUGGCAGGCUAGAGUCUUGUAGAGGGGGGUAGAAUUCCAGGUGUAGCGGUGAAAUGCGUAGAGAUCUGGAGGAAUACCGGUGGCGAAGGCGGCCCCCUGGACAAAGACUGACGCUCAGGUGCGAAAGCGUGGGGAGCAAACAGGAUUAGAUACCCUGGUAGUCCACGCCGUAAACGAUGUCGACUUGGAGGUUGUGCCCUUGAGGCGUGGCUUCCGGAGCUAACGCGUUAAGUCGACCGCCUGGGGAGUACGGCCGCAAGGUUAAAACUCAAAUGAAUUGACGGGGGCCCGCACAAGCGGUGGAGCAUGUGGUUUAAUUCGAUGCAACGCGAAGAACCUUACCUACUCUUGACAUCCAGAGAACUUAGCAGAGAUGCUUUGGUGCCUUCGGGAACUCUGAGACAGGUGCUGCAUGGCUGUCGUCAGCUCGUGUUGUGAAAUGUUGGGUUAAGUCCCGCAACGAGCGCAACCCUUAUCCUUUGUUGCCAGCGGUCCGGCCGGGAACUCAAAGGAGACUGCCAGUGAUAAACUGGAGGAAGGUGGGGAUGACGUCAAGUCAUCAUGGCCCUUACGAGUAGGGCUACACACGUGCUACAAUGGCAUAUACAAAGAGAAGCGACCUCGCGAGAGCAAGCGGACCUCAUAAAGUAUGUCGUAGUCCGGAUUGGAGUCUGCAACUCGACUCCAUGAAGUCGGAAUCGCUAGUAAUCGUAGAUCAGAAUGCUACGGUGAAUACGUUCCCGGGCCUUGUACACACCGCCCGUCACACCAUGGGAGUGGGUUGCAAAAGAAGUAGGUAGCUUAACCUUCGGGAGGGCGCU